GACGAACGCUGGCGGCGUGCUUAACACAUGCAAGUCGAACGGAAAGGCCCUGCUUUUGUUGGGUGCUCGAUUGGCGAACGGGUGAGUAACACGUGAGUAUCCUGCCCUUGACUUUGGGAUAACUUCAGGAAACUGGGGCUAAUACCGGAUAUGAGCUCCUGCUGCAUGGGGGGGGUUGGAAAAUUUCGGCGGUUGUGUCUGGACUCGCGGCUUACCCGUCUGUUGGUGGGGUAGGCGCUUACCAAGGCUUUGACGGGUAGCCGGCCUGAGAGGGUGACCGGCCACAUUGGGACUGAGAUACGGCCCAGAAUCCUACGGGAGGCAGUAGUGGGGAAUAUUGCACAAUGGGCGGAAGCCUGAUGCAGCAACGCCGCGUGCGGGAUGACGGGCUUCGGGUUGUAAACCGCUUUCGAAUGUGACGAAGCGUGAGUGACGGUAAUGGGUAAAGAAGCACCGGCUAACUACGUG
This 468-nucleotide ribosomal RNA is filed under the name uncultured bacterium. Its description in RNAcentral is "partial 16S ribosomal RNA". It matches the Rfam family "Bacterial small subunit ribosomal RNA", at positions 28 to 507 of the family's 1533-position model. The record is from RNAcentral.